GGCCACGUAGCUCAGUUGGCUAGAGCGUUGGCUGUAGUAAAGCCUUCCACUUUUUGGUGUGGGUUCGAAUCCCAUCGAGGUCG
RNAcentral lists this transfer RNA (83 nucleotides) under Schistocephalus solidus. It matches the Rfam family "tRNA". Rfam says of the family: Transfer RNA (tRNA) molecules are approximately 80 nucleotides in length. The record is from Rfam by way of RNAcentral. Lineage: Eukaryota; Metazoa; Platyhelminthes; Cestoda; Diphyllobothriidea; Diphyllobothriidae.